GUUUCCCUGAUGUUAGCGCUGACACCGUGACACCGAGGUCCUCCCUCAGCUCAAACAAACACUUUCCUUUGAUUCCUCGCUGCGCAGCGCUCAUGAGCUCAUCCAGCCCUGGGCGACGUGGGGACAAGAGAGUGAACUCUUUCACUCUACUCCGAUAUAUCACUUACUUAUCUGUCUGGGAGAGAAGUUUAUGGAACCAUCUGACUCCAGGUGCAUCGUCAACUAAGGGCGACAAGAGUGUAAUUUGAAUAGGGAGCGACUCUAAAAGGGGAAUCGCCACUCUGUGCUUGGAGGACUCUGAGCCGUCGGCCGCUGUCCUGUGAGCAUAUUGGCCAGAGCUGGCAGCUGGAAUUGGUGGCAGCGUAGCAUGAUGACUUGGCUGCAGUGCCAUCUUCUGGUGACAGACGGCAAGGCUGAGACGACCACCCUCGGAAGCAGGAGGUGGAUGGAAACUAAAGAAGAAAGAGCAGAAGGAUUCGGACUUCAGCUGAACAGAUAACACAUAAUGCAAAGCAGAAAAGAGAUUGUGUAGUUGUGUGGUACGCCCGUAUCUCGCCCACGCGACCGUGGUUGCGGUGGAGACAGAAGACAUGAAAAUCUCCUAAACUCCUAGAAAGCCCUCCAGGGAUCCAUAGAAGUUUAACAUUCACCAAACCACAAGACCUGGGGAACUCCAACACAAAAGCACCAUUUAAAAGGCCUUUCACUGCAGAUGAUCAAGUCUAAUUGAGGCUCUGAUGCACCUGGCAGUAAAAAAAGUAACCCUUCAGUCAUGUGACAGCCUCACUGAUUCAUGCACUUGUGUGUGCAUGAGACAACAUGCGUCAUUCUUAAAAAAACGCGCAUCUGGCUGUAAGGAGGACUGGUGACAGGUUCUUUACGGUAAACAAAUCA
Gasterosteus aculeatus aculeatus (three-spined stickleback) is the source of this 894-nucleotide long non-coding RNA. The record is from Ensembl. Lineage: Eukaryota; Metazoa; Chordata; Actinopteri; Perciformes; Gasterosteidae.